RNAcentral lists this ribosomal RNA (795 nucleotides) under uncultured bacterium. Its description in RNAcentral is "bacterial SSU rRNA". It matches the Rfam family "Bacterial small subunit ribosomal RNA", at positions 24 to 810 of the family's 1533-position model. The record is from RNAcentral.
UCAGGAUGAACGCUAGCGGCAGGCUUAACACAUGCAAGUCGAGGGGCAUCGGGAGGGAAGCUUGCUUUCCUUGCCGGCGACCGGCGCACGGGUGAGUAACACGUAUGCAACCUGCCCUCUUCAGGGGGACAACCUUCCGAAAGGGAGGCUAAUCCCGCGUAUAUCGGUUUCGGGCAUCCGAGAUCGAGGAAAGAUUCAUCGGAAGAGGAUGGGCAUGCGGCGCAUUAGCUAGACGGCGGGGUAACGGCCCACCGUGGCGACGAUGCGUAGGGGUUCUGAGAGGAAGGUCCCCCACACUGGUACUGAGACACGGACCAGACUCCUACGGGAGGCAGCAGUGAGGAAUAUUGGUCAAUGGGAGAGAUCCUGAACCAGCCAAGCCGCGUGAGGGAAGACGGCCCUAUGGGUUGUAAACCUCUUUUGUCGGAGAACAAAACCCGGGACGUGUCCCGGACUGCGUGUAUCCGAAGAAAAAGCAUCGGCUAACUCCGUGCCAGCAGCCGCGGUAAUACGGAGGAUGCGAGCGUUAUCCGGAUUUAUUGGGUUUAAAGGGUGCGUAGGCGGUCCGUUAAGUCAGCGGUAAAAUUGCGGGGCUCAACCCCGUCGAGCCGUUGAAACUGGCAGACUUGAGUUGGCGAGAAGUACGCGGAAUGCGCGGUGUAGCGGUGAAAUGCAUAGAUAUCGCGCAGAACUCCGAUUGCGAAGGCAGCGUACCGGCGCCAGACUGACGCUGAGGCACGAAAGCGUGGGGAUCGAACAGGAUUAGAUACCCUGGUAGUCCACGCAGUAAACGAU